Molecule: long non-coding RNA, 411 nt
Organism: Phascolarctos cinereus (koala)
Lineage: Eukaryota; Metazoa; Chordata; Mammalia; Diprotodontia; Phascolarctidae
Source: RefSeq, a predicted model, not a curated record
AUAAGGAAGUUAGGAGGAGGUGGGGAUUGUGCCAGAGAUAGACUGAGUACUGUUUUGCAUGUGUUGAAGGCCUAACUGCCCACACUUAGCGCCUACAUUUUCUCACCACCUACUCCUUGAAAUCUGACUCUUGCAGUCCUGCAAUCUGCUGGAAUUAAUUUCUCCCAAGCUCUCGAGGUAGGCUGCUCCCAUCUCGACCUGGUGACCCAUCAGCUCAAAUUCAACAUGUCUAAAGCCAAUUUUUAAGUAAUUGGUACUCCGCUCCAGUGACGCCGGCCUCCAGGCUGUUCUACAAACAAGACACUCCAUCUCUCAUCUCUGGGUAUUUUUUGGUACAUCUCCUGUCCCUACAAUGCUCUCCCUCCUCCACUCCUACUACUGACCUCCUUAGCUUCCUUUAAGUCCUAACUG